AUUGAACGCUGGCGGCAUGCUUUACACAUGCAAGUCGAACGGUAACAGGGUGCUUGCACCGCUGACGAGUGGCGAACGGGUGAGUAAUGCGUCGGAACGUGCCGAGUAGUGGGGGAUAACGCAGCGAAAGUUGUGCUAAUACCGCAUACGUACUGAGGUAGAAAGUGGGGGACCUUCGGGCCUCACGCUAUUCGAGCGGCCGACGUCUGAUUAGCUAGUAGGUGAGGUAAAGGCUCACCUAGGCGACGAGCAGUAGCGGGUCUGAGAGGAUGAUCCACCACACUGGGACUGAGACACGGCCCAGACUCCUACGGGAGGCAGCAGUGGGGAAUUUUGGACAAUGGGCGAAAGCCUGAUCCAGCCAUGCCGCGUGUCUGAAGAAGGCCUUCGGGUUGUAAAGGACUUUUGUCGGGGAGGAAAUCCCCAGCGUUAAUACCGCUGGGGGAUGACAGUACCUGAAGAAUAAGCACCGGCUAACUACGUGCCAGCCGCCGCGGUAA
This 500-nucleotide ribosomal RNA is filed under the name uncultured bacterium. RNAcentral's name for it is "partial 16S ribosomal RNA". It matches the Rfam family "Bacterial small subunit ribosomal RNA", at positions 30 to 523 of the family's 1533-position model. The record is from RNAcentral.